CGGCGAGGCUAAGGAGCGCGUGGAGGUGCACGCGAGGUCGACGGCGAUUUAAGAGGAGAGAUCGGAGAGGGAGGAGAAAGGAGAGGUGAAGGAGAAGGGGAGAGCUCGAUCGAGGUCGAGCUCCGCGUGGGAGGAAGAGGCACGAAUAGGGUGGGAGGUGCGCUGGUGUCAGCCGAAUCGGGUUGUUUUGGGUUCUAAUUAGAGUUAGGGUUAGAAUUAUAUUGGUGGUCAAAUAAAUAUAUUAAUAAAAAAUUAACGGCUAUUCAAAAUAAUUCUCGCUAAAACAUAAUUUAAUAAAAAGUAUUAACGGCUGUUCGAUAAUCGCCGCUAUUAAAUUGCCACUAAAACUUAAUUUUGUU
This 359-nucleotide long non-coding RNA is filed under the name Ananas comosus (pineapple). Its description in RNAcentral is "long non-coding RNA (ACOM_LNC039619)". The record is from RNAcentral. Lineage: Eukaryota; Viridiplantae; Streptophyta; Magnoliopsida; Poales; Bromeliaceae.